Molecule: long non-coding RNA, 350 nt
Filed under: Helianthus annuus (common sunflower)
Lineage: Eukaryota; Viridiplantae; Streptophyta; Magnoliopsida; Asterales; Asteraceae
Description: hypothetical non coding rna
Source: RNAcentral
GGUGUGUGCUACAAUCGAACAGGAGAAAGGAAAAAGGGGGUGUGAACCCUAAACCUCAAGAAAUCAUCAAAUUGAAAAGGGAAUCAAGGGCUGAUUGUAUGCAUGAACCAAGGAUGGUGAUCCCUUAAACAUUUCUAACAUCAACGUAGGAGCCAUGUCAACAUGGACACGAGCAUGGAAGGGCAAUGGGUCAACGGUAAAUACGGAAGCUAUGCAUGAACUCGGACGCACGAGGUAGCGUUAGUUAAUUGAGCAUGGUGAUGAUUGAAGUUUGAUAUGGUUUUGGUUGUAUGAAAUCGGUUAUUUUAGCUAAGUAGACCGAACGGGACAAUAUAAAGUUGUAAUGAUAU